RNAcentral lists this long non-coding RNA (865 nucleotides) under Linum usitatissimum (flax). RNAcentral's name for it is "long non-coding RNA (LUSI_LNC006823)". Lineage: Eukaryota; Viridiplantae; Streptophyta; Magnoliopsida; Malpighiales; Linaceae. The record is from RNAcentral.
ACACAUCGAAACCUGCCACCAUAGAACAAUGUCUCUCAACUCUCUCAUUAAUCCUUCUUUAAGUUGUCUAUCACACGGACAAUAACUAUUCACCAAGCAUCAUCUAAAUCCAUUAAUUAUUGAUUCCAAAAUUACCACGAGGGAGUAUCUCCCUACCCAAAUGUCGUACACACUACAGACAUAACUAUCCCAAGCUGUGACUAGACCGCCGACGCCCCUCCCAAAUCUUUUGCAACCCAAUCAACUUGUCGAUUACCCCAAACAAAGAAAACAUCAGACUCUAAACAUUGUUGCCACUUCGUCUCCUGCAAGCAUAAAAUGUACAUCGUCCACAAUGCAAAUAACUAUCUAACUCUGACCUUCUUUCGAGCAUCCCCUAAUCUUAUAAUAUUCUAGCAUAACGACUUGACAUUCAUAGGAAAUAAUGGAAAACGGGCCAUUUAUUACAAUUUUUUGCAGCACCCGUUCCAGCCUCGCAUCGGCCACCUCUUGGUCGCGCAUACUCAGUACCUCCUCGGCAACCCAUCAAACCACACACGCUGCUUCGACCUCAGAAACCCCAAUUUGCACCUCCACUAGUUCUGCCAGACGUAAGCUUCCCUCCAAAACUGAGGCCCUCCCAUCUUCAAGGCUUUCCUCCACCACCAAGGGCUCCUCCUCUUCAAGUUUCCUAACUUCUCCCUCGUCUUCCUCCGACAUUUCUGUUUCCGACUUACUCCAAUCCCCUUCAUCUUCCUCCUCAGAAUCGAUCUCCUUAUUUGAAAGCCUCUUGACAUCCUCCUCGAUGUCACUUACUAUUUCUGAACCGCAUUCCAGAUUGUAAAAGAGACAUUCCUUUGAAGCCCAAUAACUCCUUUGUUAAACC